Molecule: ribosomal RNA, 865 nt
Filed under: uncultured bacterium
Lineage: Bacteria
Description: bacterial SSU rRNA
Rfam family: Bacterial small subunit ribosomal RNA
Source: RNAcentral
UGAGUGAAGAAUAUGACGGUAACUCAUGAAUAAGCACCGGCUAACUACGUGCCAGCAGCCGCGGUCAUACGUAGGGUGCAAGCAUUAUCCGGAGUGACUGGGCGUAAAGAGUUGCGUAGGUGGUUCGUAAAGUGAAUAGUGAAAUCUGGUGGCUCAACCAUACAGGCUAUUAUUCAAACUCACGAACUCGAGAAUGGUAGAGGUAACUGGAAUUUCUAGUGUAGGAGUGAAAUCCGUAGAUAUUAGAAGGAACACCAAUGGCGUAGGCAGGUUACUGGACCAUUUCUGACACUGAGGCACGAAAGCGUGGGGAGCGAACGGGAUUAGAUACCCCGGUAGUCCACGCCGUAAACGAUGGAUACUAGCUGUCAGGGGUAUCGACCCCCUUGGUAGCGAAGCUAACGCGUUAAGUAUCCCGCCUGUGGAGUACGGUCGCAAGACUAAAACAUAAAGGAAUUGACGGGGACCCGCACAAGCGGUGGAUCAUGUUCUUUAAUUCGAUGAUAAACGAUAAACCUUACCAGGGCUUGACAUCCCGAGAAUUACUCCGAAAGGAGUGAGUGCUUUUAGAACUCGGUGACAGAUCUUGCAUGGCCGUCGUCAGCUCGUGUCGUGAGAUGUUUGGUUAAGUCCAUCAACGAGCGCAACCCUUGUGAAUAGUUGUAUUUUUCUAUUCAGACUGCCCCGGCAACGGGGAGGAAGGAGGGGAUGAUGUCAGGUCAGUAUUAGUCUUACGUCCUGGGCUAGAAACGUGAUACAAUGGCCGGUACAAUGCGUAGCGAAGCAGUAAUGUGAAGCAAAUCGCAUCAAAGCCGGUCCCAGUUCGGAUUGGGGGCUGAAACUCGCCCCCAUGAAGUCGGAAUCG